RNAcentral lists this ribosomal RNA (605 nucleotides) under uncultured bacterium. RNAcentral's name for it is "bacterial SSU rRNA". The stretch from base 1 to 519 matches the Rfam family "Bacterial small subunit ribosomal RNA", at positions 338 to 873 of the family's 1533-position model. The record is from RNAcentral.
CCUACGGGAGGCAGCAGUGGGGAAUCUUGCGCAAUGGGCGAAAGCCUGACGUAGCAACGCCGCGUGCGGGAAGAAGGCUUUCGGGCUGUAAACCGCUUUCAGCAGGAACGAAAAUGACGGUACCUGCAGAAGAAGGAGCGGCCAACUAUGUGCCAGCAGCCGCGGUGAUACAUAGGCUUCAAGCGUUGUCCGGAUUUAUUGGGCGUAAAGAGUUCGUAGGCGGUCAAGUAAGUCGGGUGUGAAAAUUCUGGGCUCAACCCAGAGACGCCACCCGAUACUGCUUAACUUGAGUUCGAUAGGGGAGUGGGGAAUUCCUAGUGUAGCGGUGAAAUGCGCAGAUAUUAGGAGGAACACCGGUGGCGAAGGCGCCACUCUGGAUCGAUACUGACGCUGAGGAACGAAAGCAUGGGUAGCAAACAGGAUUAGAUACCCUGGUAGUCCAUGCCGUAAACGGUGGGCACUAGGUGUGGGUUUCAUUAACGAAAUCCGCGCCGUCGCUAACGCAUUAAGUNCCCCGCCUCGGAGGUACGGUCGCGAGAACGUAAACGUUAAAGUAAGUAGUAGACGUCGUAGAGUUAGCGACGACGACGACGACGGAGGAGGAG